Molecule: ribosomal RNA, 386 nt
Filed under: uncultured prokaryote
Description: bacterial SSU rRNA
Rfam family: Archaeal small subunit ribosomal RNA
Source: RNAcentral
GCGCGAAAACUUUACAAUGCUGGCAACAGCGAUAAGGGAACCUCGAGUGCCAGGUUACAAAUCUGGCUGUCGAGAUGCCUAAAAAGCAUUUCAUAGCAAGGGCCGGGCAAGACCGGUGCCAGCCGCCGCGGUAACACCGGCGGCUCGAGUGGUAACCGUUAUUAUUGGGUCUAAAGGGUCUGUAGCCGGCCGGAUAAGUCUCUUGAGAAAUCGGGGAGCUUAACUGUCAGGCUUUCAGGAGAUACUGUCUGGCUCGAGGCCGGGAGAGGUGAGAGGUACUUCAGGGGUAGGGGUGAAAUCUUGUAAUCCUUGAAGGACCACCAGUGGCGAAGGCGUCUCACCAGAACGGACCUGACGGCAAGGGACGAAAGCUAGGGGCACGAACC